AGCAGUCGCCACGGGAAUACGUAGGUGGCAAGCGUUGUCCGGAAUUAUUGGGCGUAAAGGGCUCGCAGGCGGUUUCUUAAGUCUGAUGUGAAAGCCCCUGGCUCAACCGGGGAGGGUCAUUGGAAACUGGGAAACUUGAGUGCAGAAGAGGAGAGUGGAAUUCCACGUGUAGCGGUGAAAUGCGUAGAGAUGUGGAGGAUCACCAGUGGCGAAGGCGACUCUCUGGUCUGUAACUGACGCUGAGGAGCGAAAGCGUGGGGAGCGAACAGGAUUAGAUACCCGAGUAGUCCCUGUCUCUUAUAC
Molecule: ribosomal RNA, 303 nt
Filed under: uncultured bacterium
Lineage: Bacteria
Description: partial 16S ribosomal RNA
Rfam family: Bacterial small subunit ribosomal RNA
Source: RNAcentral